RNAcentral lists this microRNA (20 nucleotides) under Selaginella moellendorffii. RNAcentral describes it as "smo-miR1085-3p". The record is from miRBase by way of RNAcentral. Lineage: Eukaryota; Viridiplantae; Streptophyta; Lycopodiopsida; Selaginellales; Selaginellaceae.
UUGAUAUGUCUUGUAGGGAC